UACAGAGGGGGCGAGCGUUGUUCGGAAUUACUGGGCGUAAAGGGCGCGUAGGCGGCCAACUAAGUCGGACGUGAAAUCCCCUGGCUCAACCAGGGAACUGCGCCCGAUACUGAUUGGCUUGAAUCCGGGAGAGGGAUGUGGAAUUCCAGGUGUAGCGGUGAAAUGCGUAGAUAUCUGGAGGAACACCGGUGGCGAAGGCGGCAUCCUGGACCGGUAUUGACGCUGAGGCGCGAAAGCCAGGGGAGCAAACGGG
RNAcentral lists this ribosomal RNA (253 nucleotides) under uncultured bacterium. Its description in RNAcentral is "partial 16S ribosomal RNA". It matches the Rfam family "Bacterial small subunit ribosomal RNA", at positions 524 to 776 of the family's 1533-position model. The record is from RNAcentral.